CAGCCUCGUUGUGUGGCAAAACAGGUAGCGCCCUUGUGCCGGCGUGUAGCUCUGCAGUCACGUGAACCUCGAGUGCUGGCUGAGUUUUGUUCUCCUUGUCCCAAACAAAAAAAAAAAGGUAAAGCGGGGCUGAAAAGAUUCAGAGAGAGGCCAGAGGUGAAAGGUGAGGAACGCUUUUCACCUAAAGAGGACUAAAUAGCGUAGGACCCUUCAGCCUGGAAAAGAUAUGGUGUAAUGGGGGGCAGCCUGGACAAAGAAGUAGUGACAAACUGCUUGCCAGGUCCUCCCGUUGAAGAUCACGGGGCCAGUAAUCGGAAACUAGCAGUAACUUGGUGCAAAAUAGUCCGGGGCUCCUUGUGCAACAGGAACUGGAGCUGUGUAACUCCACAGCUGUGGUAAAGGAUAUUGUGGAUGCCAAAACUUUGCGUGGCUUUAAGGGAAGGCCGGGCAAGUUCUUGGAAGAUAAAUUAGCUGAAGGUUACCAAAGUAGCAAAGCACAUCAGGCUCAGAAAAAUGUCCUGGGCUGAAACUAGUUGGAGGCUGGGACAAACGUGCUUGCUCUGUUACUUCUCUCUGCAUGUUUCCUUAUGGCUUCGGCUGGAGGUGGGUUUAGGUAGAUCCAGCUAGCAGUGCAGCUAUUUUUCCUUUCUGUAUGUUAAAACAUCUGUUACUGUAGAAGAUGCCUCUGUAAGUGACCUUCUCUUUCCUUUGUAAAAAGGUGUGGUCGGAAAGACCUAGCUCUGCAACUACAGUCACGUGAAACCCGUAUGUCUACGCAGAAUCCCAGUGAAAGCCCUCUAUGGGAUUAAAAUGGUGUGCCUAGGUGGACUCUGUUUACAAAUUGUAGCCUAACAGUAUUUGCCUACAUAAAAGGAAUGUUUAAGGUGGCUGCAGUGGAUUGUUAGAAAGCAGUAGCAGUAGAUUAUUUUUAUUUUGGUAGUUUAUUUUCCAGUUACUUAUAUUUCAAUACUAUUCUGUCUGGACUUUCUGCUUUUCCAUAAGGUAGACAUGCUGGUUUUAAGAGCUGAUAGGCGCAAGAGCUUACAGAACUAACUGUCUUUCUGUGUUCAGAUGCAAUAAGAUGUAAUAGGUGUGUGUGAACACAUCAAAGCAACUGAAAUAAUUUGCUCUGUCCAGAACUUAUGACAACCUUUAUUAUACAGUGACCAUGUUUCCUGCUGGAUUUUAUCACUCCAGAUUUUAUUUGACAUAGGCUAUCUUCCCAGAAUAUCCUCUGAUGGUAAUUGAGACCAUCAGUUAAGUAGUUUGUGUAUUUGAGUCAUUGGGUUCUCAUAUUACAUUAGAAGUUUCUAAAUUUUGUCAUUAAGGCUCUUAGGUAUUAAUCUUUGCGUUCUAGUUGAAAUUGACACACGUGUUAAUUGCCACAUCUAAAGACAAUAAUUAUUUCAAUUAUUUUCUAUAACUGCUCAGUACAAUUCCAUUAAAACAUUACUAUGUGAUGUUCUGAAAAUAAGGUAGUAAUUUUCCCUUAACAGAAGAAGUGAUAGUCAGACAGCAGGUGGUGCAGGAGAUCAGAUGGAGAAGAAAAUGAAACUUUAGUGUAAAAAGUCAGAAAAAUGUUCAGAAAGAACAAGAAGCAAAGAACAGCCACAAGUGUCUCAGUUUCUGAUUUCAGUAGGACUAGGAGCAAGGUACAGUGAGUUCAGCGGCAUGGCAAAAUUGGGAAUGAAACCAUUUGCAGAGGUAAAGAACAGUAUAAAAAUAUGUAGUGGACUCUGCUUUCCUGAUUAGGUAAUACUUAUCUCUGUCCUUAUCAUGUAAUUUUAAAACUCUGGUAUGUUUUAAAGCAAAAUGGACAGCUGCAGAAAGCAAAAAUAGUGUCAUGUAAAGUGGUAUAGUUAAACCGGGAAUAUACAUACAUCUGCUUUUAUUUAGCAAUGCAAAUGGCAAAUAACGUAUUUGGGAUUUUAAGUAUAAGGUGCAGAGUUAAAAUGAGGCAUGCAGUCAAAGUGAGCUUUAGCAGCCAUCACUCAGAAUUUAGCCUUUUGGUGAUUCUGGGGUUGGCUGAGCGGAGUUUAAAAAGUCCUUCUGACAAACAAGUGUAAGGUGAGUAGCCAUUCAGUGGAGCACCUUCAGCCACGCUUGGAGAGCUUUUCCUGAGUUGUGACACUUGUCCCAUUUGCCCCAUACUUUCAUGUUCCACAUGAGGUACCAAGCUAUGUGAGAGUUUGAGCGUGUCUUAUUUAAGACAUUAGUUAAGGCAUUUGUCAAAUGGAAAAGGCGUUUCCUAGAGUGGGAGAAGGCCAUUCAAAUUUUUUUCACCGUAACAGCUGCUAUUUGGCAAGAUGACUGAUCACUUAAUAGUUACGUGAGAAUGGUGGUUUUCAUCCGGAUUUGAACAGUGAGUAUACUACAAAUAUGACAUUAAGAGGUGGAAAAUAGGACACAGAAUAAUCCCUGUUGCUGUCAUCAUUUUUCAAUGUAUUCCUUAGGGAAAUUUACAUGGAGGAAAAAAUGACCCCAAAACCCAGUGUUCUCUGGUAGAGUGAUAGAGGAUUCACACUUCUGGGAAGAUGUUGCCUCCCACAGACUGAAUACAGAUUUCAAGUGAUUCUGUUUAUUUUCAAACUGUUUCAGUGCUGCCUUCGUGAGAUAUUCCUUCUGGUCUGGAAAACAUGAUUAUUCACAGCUCAUGUUCCUAGGGCUUCACCUAGACGCCUGUGGCCUGACUUGCAUGAGCUGUGAAGGAUAAUUUGCAGUGCAGAUCUACACUGCGGAGAACAUCCAGAUGUGACAUUCAACAAUAUAGCAUCUACUGCGCUACUGCGUGAAAUGAAAUCAUAGCGCUAAUAGUGUGGUUAUGGUAUGAAUAAAGUAAUCAACAACUAAAAAUUCAUGAUCUAAUCCAAUUUAUAAAAGUGGAAACCAUGACUCAGUCUUUGGAGUUGGGCUGCUGAGUGACUUGACUCCACCAAGUAAAACAGUAUUCUGUUGCUAAACUUAUGCAAGUGCAAGUGCAAGUGGCUUGCACUGUCUGAACAGGGAAACCUUGGUAAAAAUCUUGUCCUGAACGGAGGCUCUGGUUAAGAGUAGCAGCGUAACUGAGCCCCUGCUCAGCGUGAGAGGCAGACUCUAGAGCAGUCGAUAGCUGCUAGUGGGUUAUUGCUCCCCUACCACCUGAAAUAUUCAAGAGAGGGUCAGUGUUUCAACCUACAAACCUUCUGCUUACGUGAAGAUCAAGUUCUGGGUUGCUAUACUGGCAGUGAAAAAAAUUUGCAAUGUGAUCUGCCAAACAAAGUAAAGAACAUUGCCCGAAGGUACUCUAACUUUCCUCCUCCAUCGUAAGUUUGCACUUACCUAUGGAUGUAUGUGAUAUAAAGCCUGUGAAGAAUAAUACAUGUAUGAGCUAUAAUAUUAGUAUAUACGGACCUCUUUACAUACCUGUAUUAGACAAAUUAUGCAACAUACAGAUGUAAACGAAGACCACAGUGUCUCUCUUGAAAUGUUUACACUCUUGAAAAUACCCCAAGAAACUGGCCAAAGGCAAAGGAAAGAAAUAAUGUCACCAGCCUAGUCGCCAUACAGGCUCUUUUAUCAAAUCUGAUUAUAUAUUUAUACUGUCUACAAAUUAUGGCAAAAUGUACAUAUGCAAAUAUAUACAGAAAAUUAGAUGUUCAAAUGUUGCCCUUGUGAGGUUAGUUUUGCUUUCUGUCAGGAUGCACUGUGCAACGUGCUUGACAAGAUCCCAUGCUACUCUUUGCAGGAAAAGCCUCAUUCGAAACCAACUCUAGGACUAGAGGAAUAUCCUAGUUGCUACAGUAAAGGAGAAAACAGGGAGGUUACUUCACACCUCCCCAGUGCUUCUUACAAUACCAGAUCAAUACUUCUCGGCAUAAUUUCACAUGGACCCUCAUUUCUGCAACAUCACUGAUCGUGGGAACCUUAACAAUAAGUUGGUGAAUGUCGUUCUAGACAAUGACAUUGUAUAGGUUGUAAAUUCCUCUCUUCUAGAUAUUCCUUAGAGAAAGGAAUGUUUUUUAUUUUAAUAUAUAUUUGGAGUUCCCUAGAAACGCUCUUUUUCACGUUCUUGCCACCGUUGAGGGUUCAUAGCACAGUAACAAUGUAUGGUGGUUACGAAAGGGCUUUGCCUCAGAGUAGGUGCUACCAGCAGUUUGUUGUUGCUCGUAUAGCUGCAGCUAAAGUCCGUGCUACUUCUUUCCACUGCUGAUUAUACCUGCUGUAGCUAGAUUAAAACAGAUAAACCUACCUUCCUUGUGCUAAAACCUUCAUUUGGUAUGGGUAAGAAAUUGCCUGGAUGGAUCUUUUUGUAGUUACUCAAAGAGAUUAAGGUCUAUGAGAAAGAGGUAUGAGGACUAUUCUGUACUUGUUUGAAAAAAAUGUUCUGAAUGCCUGAGGUUUGUACUGCUUUCCAGUGUUUUAAGUUUCUGGGUUUGGCCAACAGCCUUUAUCCACUGAAAAGGUCCAGGCUGGAAAAUCUUAACUCUUCUUCAGUAAAGUCGUUUUGUGAAUUCUGUUAUCUACCUCUGCUCUACAGAAACAGCUUUUCAAAAAUCCCUUUUGUGAAAAACUUCCACAUAUCCUUCCAUCCACUGGGAGUUAGAUCUGCUAAAAUGAACCUUUUUUGGUUUUGUUUUUAACUAUAAUUGGAUGUUUUGUCACAGACCCGCUAUGGGAUACAUUCUAAGCUUUGUAAAUUUAGUGAAAGAAAGAUUUUUAUCAGAUUCAAUGGACUGUGUGAAUCAGGCCCUACCUAUAUAUAUUCACUGAUGUGGACAAUUAGAAAAGCAUGCCAGCAAAGGUUUUGUACACAUCAGCAGAGUCGUGAAUAGAAAUAAAACAUUUAUUAAAUGUAAAUUAGUGAACAAUAAAAGGGUGAUAGAAAGAGUCUCAAGUGAGCAUAAGCAAUACGAACACAAUCCUGGUUAUACAUAAGGGUGUGCUGGUUUAAAAUAGGAAAUCUGUUUCAUUUUGACUUUUUAGAUGUUAGAUACAAAGUUGAUUACCACAAAGGGAGCAGGUAGAAUAAAGAAGAGGCAUUUUGUCCUGGAACACAACCCACUUAAUUUUACUUCCAUUCCUCUUCACACUGCAGUUUAUACCAGCUUCCAAAAUGGUACAUCUGCUGCUAGGUAAUCUUUCUUACCCACUUAGUAGCUGAGGUUUCAGCCAAACACAAAAAAGAUUUUUUUUUUUUCCAUCUAACUGCAUAAAAUUAAAAAAUCUAGGGCAUUGUUUAAUGAAAGUUUCCAGUGCAACCCUGUUUCUAGUUAUGGGCCUCUUUCCUGGGAGGCUUGCAGCCCCAGUUACCACCAUAGGAAACUUGCUUUCUUAGACAGCAAGUCUACAUGUUUUCGGUGGCAGUAGCUGCAAGCCAUCCCCAAGUGCUUUCUUAUCUUGGCUAUGAGCAUCAGGCUCACUCACCUUCUCAUUUCUCUGUUGAUUCCUCCCUUGUGCUGAGCUCUUGGGCAGUGAAAAAGGCCAGGGAGUUGAUUCAGCAGAAAAGCGAACGACCCCCGUCCUUUGCUGGGCUCAGCUGGGGCGAGCUCCCCAGCCUGGCUGCAUACACAGCCGCAUGAACAGUACAGACAGGGCUGGUGCAGGAAAGGGACUGCUUGGUGCCUUAAAUGUAUCUGGCACCAAAUGUCAAAUCAUGGCCUUAUUUUUUUUGAGAUUCGUGAUCAACCAAAGGUGUUAAGGAAAUUUGGGUCAGCUUGAAGUGUGAAGCGUAACUAGUAAAAAUACACGUUAUUCCAGUAUAAGAAAGAAUAACUAUGGUGGGAAUUUUAUGGCAGUAUCUUUUAGGCUUUCCAAUGUGGAGAAGACCAAUACAAAGUUAGACUCAGGACAGCCUUAGGAUAGAUCACAGACAGCACACUAUGGUUACAUUCACUAUGGUUCCUCAUCUAACUAGCACCUGUUACCGACACCCACUGUCACCAUGAAGAAGUUGUUGGUUUUUUUUAUCUGUGGGUGGCACAACUACAGAUACAGAUGGGAAAUUUGGAAUUGCUUUCUCAGGGGUGUAGGGUAUAAAGGAUGGUCCCAUUAUAUUCAUCAUCUGCUUAACAUCAAAUAUUUUCUUCUACAUGAACCAUGGCAUCCAAAAGCAUUAUAAAUAAAUGUGUGUCCAGUUUUGACAGUCUCUAUUAAUCACCUCAGAGGUAAAGUAACUUGCGGCACUGAGGGAAUCCAGCUGCAGUGAGUAUUUGCCAUCCCCUCACACACACUGACAGAUCUGUGAAGAGACAGGCUAGCUAAGACCUAACUGACCUGUUUAUCCUUUCUUACUGGAAGCAACCUGGAACCACGCUUUCAGAUCUUCCCAAGGGCAUGCCCCUUCUGCAGCAACUCCCAAACUUACUGUUCUUCUCCAGUGGGAAUUCACUCUGAAGAAUCAACUGGUAUUGAAUAGGUUUCCAAACGUAACAAGUAUUUCAAAGUACUAGCACCCUGGCUAUGCCAACGUGAUGUAUGCAUAUAACACCUUUGUUGAUUUACUUUCCUAAGAGGUAGUUUAAAACUGCAGCACUACUUAGAAAAACGAUUGAGUAUCUAGAAGCACUGUUGAGAAUGGAAAAAAGGCUCAGUUGUGGCACUCCGCAAGAGAACUAAUAAGAAAUGAAAAGGGAUCAGAAGGAAAAAUCCUUAACACACAGAAAGCUGUGACAGAGAAGCUUUUUGUUAUGACUUCCCCAUGGUUGCAUCAGCCAGCUGCCUUUUUCCAGAAGUAAUGUUAAAGAUACACUAUCUAGCUGGCAGCAGUGACAAGUCAUUCCACUGAAGGUACAUAGUGUAAUAAGAAGUUGAUUUCCUAUGUCCAACCUAGAAACUUUUGUUUCCAAAUCACUACCACCGGAAUAUACGAAUCAUAUAAUUUCACUUAAUACGUUUGUAGAGAAACCGAUGCAGUUUUGACCCAGUUUUUUGUUUUGUCUGUUAGCUAAAUAUAACAUAACCAUUUCUGGGGCAAAGUAUUCAUCCCUAUCUCAAAACAUAGCUCAAAUAACCAAGGCCAAACACUAUGUGCAUUUGAUUUCACAACCAUAAGUGCUGAUGAAUGAAUAUUGCAACCAAGAAUUUCUACAGUGCUGCGUAAAUUCCAGUAGUCAUCAACAAGUUACACAAUUUCACUUCUGGUUUAUAUUAACACAUAAAGGAAAUAUGUUCCAUGACUCUCACUUUACAUAACGUCCAAAUCAGUUACUUCGCUUAUUUAAGGCUCAGGUAAACUGUCAGAAACAGACCCUGCUUUAGGCUGCAUUGAAAUUUUUGUAAUUGUUGUUGACAGGUAUUUUAAUAAAAAGAUUGCACACACUAACUAAGAACUGCCUAGUUGGUGUAAUUAAAACUUGAACUUUAACAACUUUUAAGCUUGACUUUCAACAGCUAUUCAACUCAGUCCAGCUCAACAUUAAUUUUUGUUUUUAGGACGGACAUUAUAAAGCCUAUGUAGAAUUAGCCUUUUGUUUAUGACUUGAAUUUGUCAUGCACCACUGACAAUAAGGGAAGGAAUAACCUUGUUAUAAAGCAAAUUAUUUCCCUUUCUGAAAUAUGUAAGUUUGAAUCUUGUUGAACAAAUGGCAAGAUCUGGUGUGGUACAUCCUAUGCUCCUAAUAUUCAGGCCAAUCCUUUUUUUUUUUUUUUUUUAACCACUGUUCAUUUCAAAGAUUUUUUGUAAUUAAUAAAUAAAACAUAUCCCAUUAAAGCUCUAAAUUCCACAUAAAUAUAAGCAGUCAUUGAAUACAUGCCAAAAGUAAGGCAGGGAGAGCAGAAUUCUAUUUAACAACACUCUAGUAUUUACUUUGUCUUUCUAUGAUUAAAAGGAAAAACAACAUAGUUUGCUUUCUGGACUUGCAUAUAUUUCAUAAAUAUUGCAUCACCUUGCCAUGUCAUAUGACAUUUGGUAUUCCAUAAUGCAGUUCUCAGGAGCAAGUGUAAGCAGCAGCUGAUUGAUUUUCCUGUCUCUUACAACAUACAGCACAGCACACAGUUAUACUAGCAUUAUUUUUACAAGUAGUUUGUUCAGUUUUAUUUGCACUUCUCUUUGCAAAUUAUUAAAAUAGAUCAGAACCAAUUAAGAAGACCCAGCUCUGGUGACGUCAAAGGAGAAUUAGGUCAAGGAAGCAGCAGAAGCUAGCCUGUGCCAAGACUUGGAGAGGAGUAUUUGGAAUUUGAGACAGAAAAUGAAAGAAAGGCAGCAAGGCUAGCUGAAAGAGGACAUAAAGCAAAUAAGGAAGCUUAUCCCCCUUGGUAGUAUGAUAGCACAACCGAAGGAGUAAGACAUGCAACUGAAGACAAAAGAUAAGUGUGAUGAAAUAAUAAUGCUGAGAAAAAGUAAGGUACAGAAGAAGGACAUGAGGUACAAGUGACAGCUUAGAAAAAUACUAAAGGCAGGGCAGACUGUGAUAUAUUUUAAACCACUAUCAGCAGACCCGAGAAAGCUGAUGACCUUGGAGCAGGAGAGCAGAUGAAAAGCCUGUAGCAUCAAAUCUCUUUCUUUAAAGAAAGAGAAUAACAAAUCCAAACUAGAUCUGCAUCAACUGUAACUUGCAUGCAGGAAGCUUUGGAAAAUGGAAAAUCCCAAUGUUGCUCAGGAGGGAAAAACUCCCCUCUCUUUCCAGCUCAGGAAACGUCACUGGAAAGUCCCAGCCUGAAAAAAAAAAAUCCACCCAGUAAACAAAUUGCCUAUGCAUUGAAAAGAGAAAGAGGAACAAAGUCAAGAGAUACUUUGAGGUUAAAGGAGCUCAUUUUCAGGUUAGAAUUUCUUUGAAUGACGACAGUUCAAGUUCAAACAAGAAAAAUCUCACUAGGAUGAAGAAACUAGCAAACUUCAUUGCUGUUAUUAGGCUACAGAAAGUAAGCUCUUCAACUUGGGAUUUUUUGGGUUUUCUGCUGAGUGUACUCAAACAAUCCCAGUGACAACACAGAUACCCAGGAUUAUUAGAUCACUGUAAAAUUAGAAAUAACUGUCUGGCAAGUUUGUGGGUUGUUGGGGUUUUUUUCCCCCCUUGAUUGACCUGUAUUUUUAGACAAGGAAGCUCUGCUCCACAAUAUGCUUCCUGACAACCUCACUGGGCAUGGUUGUUUUACAAGUAAGUUCAAUGCUGGGAACUUUUCCAGCAUUGUCUGUCAAGAAAACAAGGAAAAACCAUGGCUAGUCACUUUGAGACAAGAAAUAUAGCGUUGGGCAACAUUCUACGAGUCUUCUCUAACUAGUACUGAUGAAAACAGAAGUAUUUUAACAGAAAAAUCAUUUACCUUUCUCUGAAAUAAAUCAAAAUUCAACAAAGCAGCAGUACAACCAUACUAACACAAAACAGAUGACGGUUUGGGAAGUGUCACUUGGACUGCCCUAUUUAUAGCCCGAUAAAUAUUAAAAUAAUUAUUCAAUAUUUUAUUAUCUUCAAGCUCAGGUUCUCUCAAUUAUUAUCAGGAUUUAAAGCUACUGCAGAUAGCCAUCUCAAGUAUGCUAUCCUAACAGACAGUGACUUAAUAUUUGUGAAACUACAGUCCUAUUCACAUCCUCACAAAUUUGGGACAAAGGUUGCUUGGCAGUCUUUUUUGGGGGUGGGGGGGUUAUGUUUCAGAUUUGUUUUAAUACAUUGCUCUUAAUGCAUAUAAAUAGCAGGAGGGAAACAAAAUCGCAGGGAAGUUAGCAAAUACCAUUCUUUACCAUUCUUCCUAUUACCAGGUAAGGGCAUAAUUCUACUGCUAUUGUCAUAAAGGAGGGUAGGAGGAUAUUAACUUCUGCAGUGGAAGGUCAGGGCCCAAGUCCAUUGAUUCCAUCUCUCAUUCUCAAGCUUUGAACAGUAGGGAUUAACGAUCACAAAAGUUUUCCCUCGCCACCAAGCUGGAGCAGCAAAUUAGAAAACAUAUCCAGUUUCGCUUCCUGUAUCUGAUGCAAGAAUUGUAUUAAGCUCUCUAGGAGAAACGUCAUGAUUCUCUCUCUAAGUACACUCUUACAUACACUGCAGGAAAGAGAACCCAGGAUGCGCGUCUCGGAAGAGGUGCAGCAAGGGUGAAGCCAAUAUUCACAAAAAAUGUACAAGCUGUAUGCCUCAUGAUUUUCAGAGGAGUGUCUUUGCCCUUCUCAAAGCAAGUUUCUAACAACAAAUGAAAGUAGACUGCGCCUGCAACAUGAACAUGACCUGCUGAUCUUCUAAGGGCUUUGUUUCAGGUACACUUGCCACUGUUGAUCAGUGCAAGGUAGCGUGGAAUCAGACAGUAAGAACGCCUUAUGCUGGAUAAUGCCUACUGCAAGAGGCCUCUCCCUUAAACUGUUUUCACACCUUGAGUUAACAUAGUCUGCUACAAUAGCUGAUGUACUACUGUACUGGAAAGCGGCAGAUAAUUCUGAAGCUUUAAAAUUCAGGGUUUUGUAUACUGGCACUGCAGACAUGCUAUAUGAAACCAUUUCAAAGUAGGAGCCUCUUCAACGCCAAGCGGAAUGCUCUUGGAUUCAGCUAAUUUUGAGAAAGAGAAUGCUGCUCCAUACCACACUUCAUUUCUCAAGCUCCCACAGCUGAUUCAGGAACUUUGCUCAUUGGAGUAAGUAAAACCAUAAAUCUGGAAAUUCCAGCCAAAAGAGUUAUUUUAGUAUCUGCCUGGUGCAAGACACAUAAAUCAGUUGAGAAUAAACUAACUAUUUUUUUUAAAAAGGUUGAUGUAUUUGCCUAUUGAACACCCACUGUAAUUAGGUAACACUGAAAAAGGCAUAAGAUGAAACGUUAGUGAUAUUCAUUCAUGCUUCAGGUAACUUUUUUUUUAAACAUGUUAUAAGGUUUUAUUUCAUAAAAUAGCAUGGAUAUGGAAUCAGCUAAGCAUCGCGGAAUACAAAAUUUCACACAGGGGGAAGGGAGAAAAAAAACCUUGAAUCAAGCAGAACCAACCACACCUUCAUCAAAAGAAGGACUACUUUAGUCAGAUCAGAUACCUGACCCCAAUAAAAAUAAUUAACAAACCAACCUAAUUCCUAAUGGAGUCAGUGAUUAUAAGAGGAAAGUCAUUUCUGGAACGCAGCUAAUUCUGAAUCUGGCUUUGCACAGAGUUCUAUGUUUCAUUUUCUUUUGUUAUUUUUCCUCUCUGACCUUGUCAGUCUUGUUACGACGAAAGUUGAUUUGUCAGCUGACGAGAAAAGAAAAAUAAGAUCAAUUGUAAAGCUGAGCGAUUAAGCAAGAAAAAGAUAUGCAAACGCAUUCUAAGUUCCUGCAUAUGUAAACAUGGUUUUACUCCACUCUUUGACAGAUUAAGCAAAAAAGGCUAAAAGAACCUGAAAGCUUUGAGGCUGAACAUCUGAAAGUUGGAAAGUGCUAAGAAUUAACACAGAAUAUGCAAAGGAAGCCUGGACUAGGAUCAAAAGGCAAUACAGUAAUUUCUAGCUGCAACAGGGACACGUUACUCGAGCAGUAGCUCUCGAGUAGUUCAAAUGUAACUCCAAGGGCAGGCCUGGCAUGAGGGCUGCACCGAUACAGACACAGCAAGUGUCACCAUUCCUACAGCAAAGGAAGCAGAUAUCGGGCAGGGAGGCUGUAUGGAAACCAUAGUAGUUGCGUGUUAACAUAUCGCAAUUGGUUGAGGUGGCGACAGAACAGGUUCUGAUCACUUCAAACAUGCCUGCCCCAGGGACAGUAAACAUGUGGCAGAUGUACGAAGCGGACGCCUGGCAAGAAGAACCACUGCACCCAGCUCAACUAAGUCUGCCUUCAAACAAGAUGGAGCCUUCAGACUGACAACGUUAAAAAAGGAGAACAACCCACAGAGUGCAAUUACCACUUCCUUCAUGCUUGUAAAUCACUAGUCAUCUCUUUUUCAUCACAUGAAUGCCAUCACUGCCAGAAACGACUGCCUGAGGAUCUAGACUGAAACUGUUACAGCAAUCACAUUAAUGGGCCUCUGCAGAUGCAGGAGUAGAGUUUAUUUUACCAAAUAAGAAGUCAUAAUUAAGAAGUGAAAUACUUCCAAAAUAGCUGAUCAUUAACUAUUUAAAACAUAAAAGCAAUAGUUUUAUUCUAUAGGCUUGACAGUUUAGCACGGAAUAAGCCUUACAUGCAGCUUAACUGCAAAUGAAAUACUCUUGAAAACCAUUUGUGUACAAAAACACGUAUGCUUUAGGGCUUAACUGUAGGGUGUAUGAAUAAAUAAAGCGGAGUUGUACUUAUUUGGCUUUACAAAUUAGCUUCCAGGUCUUUUAUGUACAUUUCAAUAAUACUUCAUGCUAAGCAAGAUUAAACUUGAAUUUUAACUCCUGGCAUAUACAAGAGAAAAAUGUAGUUGGUGAAACUACUGCAUCUCCACGACAGACAACACUAUUUCAAACUUUCCCAAGAGUGAUACCCCCAAAACUAUUAAGAUUGCAGCUGUCGCUACGGUAUUAUGAAACCUUUUAGGCUCAGGGGAAGUAAUGAUUUCUAAGCCCAUGUGCAAGGGCAGUUAAGUUCUCCUUUUUAUCUCUACUAACCUCUACUCUUUAAUGUUCCAGUCUCUUUCUGAAGCCACAACUAUCCCUUAGAAGACAUCAUACACCACGGGAGCUGCUGACCACAAGGAGAGGGGAGCACAGCACAGCUCAUUUCCAGCCCACCCCCACUGCUAAGGCUGGCCGUAUGUGAAAGACAUCCCUCUUGCUGAGGCAAAAGGUGGAGGCAUGGCCAUGCUGAGAGGCCCAAAAUAGGCCAGAGUGACAUUACGCAAAUCAGGGUAGUAUAAAAACUAAUUAUUUUCUUACAGUACAGCAGCAUAGCGUAUAACGAUGUCCACCUCUCACUCACUGAUAUUGUGUAGUGAGACUGUAAUGAGGGAGCAGCUACCCCCAUCAUAAACUUACCUACUCUUUAACCAAAAGUUACAGGACUUAAGUAGUAUUUCUGGAUACCUUUGCCCCAGGGUUUUUAGGAGCUGUAAGCCACCCAAAGCACCAUUACGCACACAUAACAUCUCAGUGAUCAUUUCUCUGAUGAAAUCUUGUUGCAAGGAUCCAUACAUUUGUUACCUAACUGGAUUGCUAGGUAGCAUCUUACAAAAGGUUAGUUGCACAGGAACCCUAGCUAGCAGAGAAUUCAGCUACUCUCAUGACUCAGAAGAAAUACUUACUGAUACAGCAAAAUAACUUCUGCAUACAGUGAUGCAUAUACAAAAGCUUCAGGUUAGACAAGGAAAUUCUCACAAAAUACCCAUUCCAUGACAGUCACACAUCUUUGUAAUGCCAUGUAUUCAUAUUCCUCAAUUAAAUAGGUAUUUUCCAAAUUGAAAAAAAAAAAAAACAACACAGAAACAUCUCACAGUGAUGCCAGUUAAACUCCUACACUGCAAAAACUGUAGACACUUACACAGGUAAAACAUAUUUUAUCUGGAAUCUGUUUUUAGAACUUUGCUUUUAGAUUUGUUUUUAUCUGAAUCUCAACUAUAGUCCAUUGAUUUUAUAGUCUUCUCAGAAAACAGGU
Struthio camelus australis is the source of this 13421-nucleotide non-coding RNA. NCBI's taxonomy places the organism in Eukaryota, Metazoa, Chordata, Aves, Struthioniformes, Struthionidae. The record is from RefSeq and is a predicted model, not a curated record.